Molecule: ribosomal RNA, 1479 nt
Filed under: Limosilactobacillus fermentum
Lineage: Bacteria; Bacillati; Bacillota; Bacilli; Lactobacillales; Lactobacillaceae
Description: Lactobacillus fermentum 16S ribosomal RNA
Rfam family: Bacterial small subunit ribosomal RNA
Source: RNAcentral
GGUGUGCCUAAUACAUGCAAGUCGAACGCGUUGGCCCAAUUGAUUGAUGGUGCUUGCACCUGAUUGAUUUUGGUCGCCAACGAGUGGCGGACGGGUGAGUAACACGUAGGUAACCUGCCCAGAAGCGGGGGACAACAUUUGGAAACAGAUGCUAAUACCGCAUAACAGCGUUGUUCGCAUGAACAACGCUUAAAAGAUGGCUUCUCGCUAUCACUUCUGGAUGGACCUGCGGUGCAUUAGCUUGUUGGUGGGGUAACGGCCUACCAAGGCGAUGAUGCAUAGCCGAGUUGAGAGACUGAUCGGCCACAAUGGGACUGAGACACGGCCCAUACUCCUACGGGAGGCAGCAGUAGGGAAUCUUCCACAAUGGGCGCAAGCCUGAUGGAGCAACACCGCGUGAGUGAAGAAGGGUUUCGGCUCGUAAAGCUCUGUUGUUAAAGAAGAACACGUAUGAGAGUAACUGUUCAUACGUUGACGGUAUUUAACCAGAAAGUCACGGCUAACUACGUGCCAGCAGCCGCGGUAAUACGUAGGUGGCAAGCGUUAUCCGGAUUUAUUGGGCGUAAAGAGAGUGCAGGCGGUUUUCUAAGUCUGAUGUGAAAGCCUUCGGCUUAACCGGAGAAGUGCAUCGGAAACUGGAUAACUUGAGUGCAGAAGAGGGUAGUGGAACUCCAUGUGUAGCGGUGGAAUGCGUAGAUAUAUGGAAGAACACCAGUGGCGAAGGCGGCUACCUGGUCUGCAACUGACGCUGAGACUCGAAAGCAUGGGUAGCGAACAGGAUUAGAUACCCUGGUAGUCCAUGCCGUAAACGAUGAGUGCUAGGUGUUGGAGGGUUUCCGCCCUUCAGUGCCGGAGCUAACGCAUUAAGCACUCCGCCUGGGGAGUACGACCGCAAGGUUGAAACUCAAAGGAAUUGACGGGGGCCCGCACAAGCGGUGGAGCAUGUGGUUUAAUUCGAAGCUACGCGAAGAACCUUACCAGGUCUUGACAUCUUGCGCCAACCCUAGAGAUAGGGCGUUUCCUUCGGGAACGCAAUGACAGGUGGUGCAUGGUCGUCGUCAGCUCGUGUCGUGAGAUGUUGGGUUAAGUCCCGCAACGAGCGCAACCCUUGUUACUAGUUGCCAGCAUUAAGUUGGGCACUCUAGUGAGACUGCCGGUGACAAACCGGAGGAAGGUGGGGACGACGUCAGAUCAUCAUGCCCCUUAUGACCUGGGCUACACACGUGCUACAAUGGACGGUACAACGAGUCGCGAACUCGCGAGGGCAAGCAAAUCUCUUAAAACCGUUCUCAGUUCGGACUGCAGGCUGCAACUCGCCUGCACGAAGUCGGAAUCGCUAGUAAUCGCGGAUCAGCAUGCCGCGGUGAAUACGUUCCCGGGCCUUGUACACACCGCCCGUCACACCAUGAGAGUUUGUAACACCCAAAGUCGGUGGGGUAACCUUUUAGGAGCCAGCCGCCUAAGGUGGGACAGAUGAUU